GCCAACCCCGCCUGCACGCCCCGUGUGGGCCCCCGCUCGCCUUUCUCCUCCUCCGCUAUCUACACUACAGUACUACACUACCUUCUCAACAGCUGCUGAGGUCCCGGCUCUGCUAUAUAUACGGAGUGCUGCUUUAAGUUCUACACCUGCUACUUGAGCAAACAACGGCAUAGCUCGUCCUCGCCGUUGCCAACUUGGGAGAAUCCUGAUCGUGACUGACUGCAAGAUGAAGCUGCUCGUCGGAGGCCAGAGGAGGCAGAGGGGAUUCGGCAAGGCCCUCAAGGAGCAGAGGGCCAGGCUCUACAUCAUCCAGCGCUGCGUCGUCAUGCUCCUGCGAUGGCACGACUGAUCCAAUCCACAUACUGCCAUGGGGGAGCUUCGUCCGAGAUACAAACCAGUGGAUUCACAGGGCGAGCUCCAUCGUCCUUGCCUGGUGCUUGCUUCAUCGGGCGCCGGAGUUUUGAGAGGUGUCGCGCUGCUGCCACAAUGGUUGCCGCUUGCCGGCUGCUGUACAUAGAGAUAGAGGGCCAUGGCCAAUAUAGUGUAGUACAAAUAGAGGUAGGUGUUCGUCAGUGUCUACUGUGUCAUUGUGUAUGGAAUGCCAAAUCAGUGAACAAGACAGUUGUUGGGGUCUUUCUCUUUCGAAUGUCCUCAAAAAUACGGCUAACCAUUUGCUUUCAGCAUAUUACUAAAUAUUACAGGAGCUUCGUCACUAAAAAAGCUUUAACAUAACUCAAGAGAAAUACGACGAUACAAGCUUCAUCACGGUUAAGCAGAAAGACGACAUAGUGAGAAGGUGUUGUUCAAGUUAUUAAAUACAAAUGACGAUAAUGUCCUUGUGACAUUUAUAAACUCUGUAUAUAAUUGUUGAGGACAUGAAUGUAAUAACGUACGAAGCUGUACGAUUGCCUAUAAAUAGAUGAACAGUACCCACGCUGGAUUAUAAUUGCCCUCGCGUCAUUACCUUCAAACAAGCCGAAGGUAUCAAUGCAAUACAAACUUUGAUAGUGUUUGUAUAUUUAUUAUGAAAUAAAUAUGUGGCGUGACAUCACAUCUCGUAAGUACAUCUUCAUAUUUACGAAUGAUGAAGACUCAUUAUUCAUGACCUUCGUCUAAGAUUCAUUAAAUCCGAAAGGAAAUAAUGCUUCGAAAGACGAAGGUCUUUAACAUAUAACAAAUGUUGUUGCCUUGCUUUUGAUUCAUAGCAAUUAAGAACAAUUGACCAACGUUGAUGCCCACCUAUGGUGAACUCAAACGACCACCUUCGACAACAAGAGCUCGAACAACUACUUUCGUCGAGCCGCCGAAGAAGGCGGUAGCGCCAGGGGCUUCCCUUGCGCCGCUGGACACCAAUCAAGAGGGGCUCCUUCUGAGGGAGACCCGAAGCCAGAAAAGGAAGGCCAUUAGCCUAACACCACAGGAAGAAGAGUUGGAUCAAGAAAUCAGAGAUCUAGAGGCUAUCCAUCAACAAGUGGAAAGAAGAAGAGAGAAAAUGCUUCGGCUGACUGAACUCUAGAAGAAGAUUGCUGAAGCAGUCGAAGAGAUGUGUCACAUCACACAAGACAACGAGCAAGGGCGUAGGCCACAACAGAGAGAGCUUCGUUAGGAAAGCCCUAGCUAUGAUGACGUAUGGUAUGACGAUUUUCAUCAUGAUAACAUUGCUUUUGAUGAUGCUUCCCCCCUAGCUACAGAAUUGUAGGCUACCCCAUGGUCACCUUCGUACAAAUCACCACAACUUCCCAUGUAUGACGGGCAUUCGGACCCGAAUCAGUUCCUCAUGAGUUACGAAGCAACCAUAUCAUCAUAUGGUGGCAACACUACUGUCAUGGCCAAAUCCUUCGCCAUGGCAGUCAGGAGUUUUGUUCAAACAUGGUAUUAUUCUCUUCGGUCGGGAACAAUCACAUCGUGGCAGAAGCUGAAGGAUACGCUAGUCACCCACUUUUUGAGCUUUCAGACGAAGCCAGUGACUGCUCAAGCUCUAUUCCAGUGCACACAGGACCACGCGGAGUAUUUGCAGGCAUAUGUCCAAAGGUUUCUAUGUCUCAGAGCUCAAGCGCCAACGGUGCAAAAUGAAAUUGUUAUCGAAGCCAUGAUCAAGGGACUUCGUCCAUGACCAACAGUGCAAUAUUUUGCCAGGAAGCCCCCACAAACCUUGGAGAAACUUCUACAAAAGAUGGAUGAGUACAUUAGAGCCGACAAUGAUUUCUGGCAAAGAUGGGAAGAAGCUUACAGAUAUUCUGAUAAACCCAGGGGCUUCGGAGGAAGGCUCCAACCAAGGCAUGUCAAAACGAUACACAAUCCAGCCAAAGUGAAGACAGAGGCAAUCACAACCAAGGAUAUCAACACAGUUCCCAGUCAUCUGGGACACAACAAAGCUCCUUCAGACCACCAGCCCCAAGAGAUAGAGGGGGACAAAGCUUUGGAGGAAGAUUCAGUUCACAACCGAGAAGGUUGUUCUGCCUGUUCUGUGGAGAAGAUAAGGGGCACACAACUAGGACAUGCCAAGUUACAAUACAGAAACAAAAGGAGAUAGCUGAGGUUGAAGCACGGCAAAAUCAGCCGAAGCAAGUCCUACAUACUGCUUCGUGCUAUUCCCCGUACAUUCUUGAGUAUGUGGGCAAUCAACAGCCAUUUUCACAACCCACAAUGUCAGCAACUUCGGCGAGCCACUCCCCAGCUCCAUGGGCAUUGCCACCACCACCGGUCAUGGCUCCAACUUCGUCCCACACCAAUAGCCUGAGGGGCAUCGCCAAAUUUAGCAACAACGCGAUGCAAGGGAAGAGUAUGAAGCCCAGACAGUUAAUAGCACUGUACCAGAAUCAAGGCACAUCUACUGAAGCAAUAAAGGGGCUGGAUCAAAAAACAUUCAUACACACCUAAUGUAAUUUUCAUUUAUCUCGAUUUCCUGUUUUUGCCUCAAAGAUAAUUUGAGAAGGUACAACCGUCAACCUGUUGUAAAAAAUAUGGAGUUACACUAUCGAGUGUAAUAGAAACAGUGAAAAAGCUCUGAAGUCGUUCCUAUGGGGAUGCAGAGCUAAAAUACCACCUAAGUAAAAGGUGAAGAAGCUCCAAAGUCAUUCCUAAGGCGAUGCAAAGCUUAGCUCUAAAGUCGUUACCAAGGGGAUGCAAAGCUUAGAUCCAAAGUCGUUCCUACGGGGAUGAAGAGCUAAAAUACCACCUAAGUAAAAGGUGAAGAAGAUCCAAAGUCGUUCCUACGGAGAUGCAGAGCUUAAAUGCCACCUAAGUAAAAGGUGAAGAGACUCCAAAGUCAUCCCUAAGGGGAUGCAGAGUCUUACUAUUACAAAAUGUUUGUCCAUUAACAUUUGUUGCGUCAUAAAAUCACAUCAUGCUGCAUAACAUCGCAUCAUUCAUCAUCUUGCAUCAUCCAAAACAGUGGAAAAGAAGGGAAAUUACUCCUUCGACCAUAAUGGCUAACCCAUAAGGUUAAGCGUAUCUGGGACAAAGAAUUAUGAAAGGAUGCUGCAAUUUUACCCAUUCCUAUUAAACGGUAAAGAAUUCCUCAGGCAAGAUCUACGGCAAGACCUUUGGACUAAUUUUGUUACUUCGGCAACGAUAUUCCUUAUGCAAGAUCUACGACAAGACCUUCGAGUUUGAUAAUACUGCUACGGUGAAAAAGGGAUUUUCUUUAUGAAGCGUGAAAAGAAGGGAAGGUAUUUUUUCGCCUUUGGCUCAAAACGGUACGUAUGACAAUUUCACGCUACGCAAAGAAAUAUAUUACGCCAUGAGACACAAAGCCUGCAAUUGUUUGUUACAUAAAAAACACCACACAAAAAUUUGCAAAAUGUUUUUAUACAUAGUCUAAUCAUCCUUCUUCAGGACUCUCUCAGCAUCUUCGUUUAGAAGUCUAUUUACAGCUUCAUCAAUUGCUUCAUUUGCUAUUCUGAUUACAUCGAGAGUACCCUUCAGGGCUGGAUCGGCCUCAAGGUUGUAUGGCUUUGGAGGAGGAGAUAGUUCAGCUACAUCAAAAUAUAAGCUUUUGUCAAGCACAAAGUUAACAUACUUACGAAGCUAAAAUAUGACAAACAUACCUAUAUGUCUUUCACGUUCAGCGGCCUCUUCAUCUUUUCUUGAUUCUUAUAAGGCAAGAUGAGCCUCUUCUUCAUUUCGCCUAAUGGCUUCGCCUGCUACCUCUCGAACGCCAUUCAUCCAUACUUCAAAAUAGAAUUUCCCACUAAGGGCAGUAGUUUCGGCUGAUGGCUCCUUGAUGUCAGUCGCUGAAACUGGGAAGUCUGGCUGAAUUACAGCCUUCGCAUGGUCACAGCCAGCUUUUUUAAGUAAAGAUACAGCUCCCCGAGUGUAGGAUCUAGGACAACGGCUAGAGGGGGGUGAAUAGACGAUUUUGACUAAAUUCAAAAACACUAGAUAAAUUUAAUCAAUAUGACAAGAGGUAUAAAUUCUCUAGUGACAACAAGUAAACAAUCUAUGAGAAACAACUAUGGUGAUUGUAUACUCGAAGAACAAUAUGCAAAAUACUAAUCACUUGCACGACAAUAAGUAAUGCAAGAAAAGAAAGACACCGGAUUUUAUCCUGUGGUAUCGGUGAUUUGCCGAUCACCCCUAAUCCACGUUGAGGUGGACUUCAAGAUCUCACUUGCUCCUCUAUCAAGACACGACUUGAUCUUUGAGCCAACUGGACAAGAAAUCACUCAAUACCUCGUUUCCACUAAUGUCAUCUUUGCCGCUCCGACGAGGUAGGCGCGAACCUCUCACAAUCGACAUCGCGGCUCCUCCACAAUCUUCUUGGAGAGCUCGACAGAGACAACACUCGAGCCGUCUAGGAGGCGGCAACCUCCAAGAGUAACAAGCCGAUGACGCUUGCUUGGUGUACCACCUAGUGCCUCAAGGAUCACCAAUGGAUGCAAAUGCACUAGGAACUCUCAAUCUCUCACUAGAAUGCAAUCUCAAGCAAGAAGUGUGAGAGAAUGAGUGGGAGGAUCACAAAUGAGCUCAAUGUGUGCAAGGAAUGGCCAAGGGAGCCCUCACACAUGAGCUCCCCUUCUAUUUAUAACCCACCUCACAAAUCGAACCGUUAUGUGCAAACAACACACAUUCUGCGCACACGCGGACGGUCCGCGCCCUGAGGCCGGACGGUCCGUUGUACAUAUAACAGCUAGUUUUCCCGUUUAAAAUCUGUCAGAGCUGUCAGAAAAGCGAGGUCCGGACAGUCCGCCAACCUUGGCCGGACCGUCCGAGACCUGGCAACUUGGAGCACCAGUGCUCUAACCAAGAGGAGUUAACACAUGCGGACUGUCCGCCCUACAAGGCCGGACGGUCCGCAACCUGGGAGACAGUACUGUCCAGGCUUAGACCCCGGACAGUCUGUAGUACAAAUGCCCAAAAACACACAGUCCCUGCCCAAACCAAUUUGGCACCUGCGGACAGUCCGCCCUACAAGGCCAGAUGGUCCGCACAAUAAUACAGGGACUGUGCCGAGAGCAACCUUCUCUAGUCAGGACUGCGGACGGUCCGGCCCAAGGCCCGGACGGUCCGCAGUACAAAUGACAGGAACAACGAUGUUAACAUACUUUGGACCACCACUGGAUGGAUCGCGGACGGUCCGCCAACCCCAUAACUUAACAACUUUUCAAACACGCUUUUGAAAAGAUUUUUAACUCUUGAAAUUGGAAGCGAUGUUAGUCCUCAUGCAAAUGCAACCACUAGAUGCUCUAUGAGGCACUAAGUUUGACACAGACAAACGUCAUUGACCCCUCUUAAUAGUACGACCAUCUAGCCUACUAAUCCAAUCAAAUAUCUUCUCUAAACUCCUGGAGACCGACAAAAACAAAACCUAUGUUAUACCUUUGCCUUCACUUGAUCCACAACCAAUGCUUAUAAAUCUCCAUGAUUUUUUGUUCUAUGUGGUCCAACCCUGCAUUCUAAUUUCUCCAAGAACCAUUAGUCCACAACCAGUUGUCAUUAAUUACCAAAACAUCACUAAGGGCCUAGAUGAUUCACAAUCUCCCCCUUUUUGGUAAUUGAUGACAACACCACACAUUAUAUCCAAGAGAAGUUUUGUUUUUCAAACCUCCCUCAUACCUUAGGUAUAAGAAGGAUUUUAGAGGUGAGUUUUAUAAGACUUAUCUUGAUUUGAAGUUCCGUCCGAGAGAUAGAUAAAUCUCAAUAAAACUCAGAGUGUAGGAAUAUCUCCCCCUAUGUGUGUGCAUGAUAUUUCUAGUUGAAGAUACAACACACAUAAUCGAUCGGAGUUUUAAUGGAGAUCUUCCUACAGUCAUGGUUAUCGAGGCAUACAAGAAGUAAUAUGUAAAAUAAGCGCAACAAAUUUAAUCACUCCUCGAUCAACCAUUCACACACAUAGUUCAACCCACAGAAUAUUACAAAUAUUUGUCCACAAACAUAGUAAACAUGCACAUGCACAUGCAAAGUCUCAAUGUUCAUAUGAGCGAGCUCCCCCUAAAUAUGACAUUCCCAACUUCUCUUCUCUUCUCUCCCCCUUUGGCAUCAAUUGCCACAAAGGAGGGGCUUCACUGACCACCAGGUGGAGGAUACAUGCUGUAAUAAUGGGUGCUGAAGGUGUCAAAGAGAGAGGAGAACUGCCCAAAGUCUUGCUGGAGCUGCUGCUACCUCUGACUUAUGUUUUGAAUGCUGUCAUUUGUAGACAGAUUGUCAAACUGACUAGACAAAGCCCCCAUAUAAUCCUGAAAACUCUGCUGCAUGUUGUUCAGUCUGGUCAUAAUUGGAUCAGUAAUAGUGUCUUGGAUGUGACUGCGAAUCUUAGAAAGCUCAAAAUUUAUCGCAUCCAAGUUAUCAUCAAAGCGAGCCUGCAUCCUAUCCAUGCGCUGGUCCAUAUGAGUCAUCAUGCCCUGGAAGCGGCCAUUCAUAUGGGUCUGGAGCCCUUGCUGCAUGUUCUGAAAGUAAGGAUCAAAAUAGCCUGGACCAGGCUACCAGAACUGCUGAGGCUGAGGAGGAGGUGGAGGAGGAGGCAUCUGCUCUGCAUCAGCUUCAGGAGCUUCUCCUGCAUCAUCACCAGCUUCUUCCUCAUCAUCUGGGAAAGGAGUAAGAGGCCUGGUGAUGAAUCCAAUCUCAUUCUUGAAGGGCCUAAAAGGAGUGUGAACUAUCUCACAGUGCCCCUCAAAUCUAGUCUUAGCUUUGAUGAGAGCCAUAAUGUAUGGAGCAUAGGCUAAGUUAUAGUUCUUGUCCAUUUGAGGUCCUGUAAUUGUCUCAUCAUAAAUAGCACAACAUUCAUUACCUCACCAUUCAUGACAUGGUGGAUAAUGUUCCAGAACUUGUCUCUGAUUUUGCUCUUAUCUCCACUCUUGGGAAGAAAUGUUACUCUCACAAUUUUGUUAAUCACAGCAGGAUGAUGCCUCAGUCCUGCUGUCUCACCAAACCUCGGAAUUCCCAGCCUUGCUGGCUCAUAGAAUUGCACAAAUUCUUCAAAGUUAUCCUCAGUAUACAAAUCAAUCCCAGCUGAAAUUGUAUCAUAAUCCAAACUGUUUGCAGUAGCAAAUUCAGCAAACGUUGCAGAAUACCUCUUGAAGCCAGUAAUCCAGGUGAUUGAUUGUUCAUCAAUGUCAAUCUCAGCAGUGGCCAGGAACUGUUUCACAGCCAUUUCACUGAAGUCGGUCCUCUGGCCCAUAAAGUGAUAAAGACCACAUGCAUAGAAUUUGGGAACCUUGAAUGAUUGACCCAGCAUAAAAGUCCAAUCUAUAAAUUGAUGCUUGUGAAAGUUUGUAUCCAUCAGUGUGCCCCAGAAGACAUCAAAUUGAAGCUGAGUGUGAAAGAACUGAAUAUUGGUGUAUGAGGGCAGAUCAUACUGAUUGACUGUCUUCCUAGAGUAAUAUUCUGCCAUAGAGAAUCUCCUCUUUGGAUAAGUCCAUCCUGUGAUGUCAAUUGGAUAGUCAGGAUGAGCGUGUGGAACAUCUUCUGUGUCCAUAGAAACACUACCCCCAGUUGAAGAUUGGGCCUCUAAGUCUAUGGUUGGAUUAUAGUCUGCAUCAUCUGCACGAGGGCGCUUUGAUUUGAAACAACCGUCAAGCUUCUUCUGAAGACCACCCAGACCACUGCAAUAUAUGUGAGAAAUAACCACAGGUGAAUUGUUGAUAACGCCACAACAUAGAGAAAGAAAGUGUAACUUUCUGUCAGGGGCCGGACUGUCCGCGCUAGGGGGCCAGACUGCUGCGCCAGAGGUCCGGACUGUCCGCGCUAACCUGGCGGACGGUCCGCGACCGUCCAGGGGCGAUUUUUCUAGAACCCUAGUCGUCCCAUCCAUUCAAUCAACGAUUCGACAGAGAAAUAACCAUCCAAACUUGUUCAAAUUUUUGCACAACAUUCACAAUGAGUAACACUAGCAAUUCCACCAAUCAUAUUUGUGAAUCCACUACUCAAUUCUAGAUCAGAGAGAAAAUCCGAAGAAUCCCCAAAUUUGAAGAAAUCAGAUAAAGUCCAUGAGAUUUUGAAAUACCUGGACGAAGACAUGAUUGUUGAACUUCCAACAAGCUUCCGGACAGUCCGUGCGCAAGUUCACUUCAUCGUCCGCUCACAAUCAACAAGAGUCACCUUUAGGCGUGUGGAGAGUGUGAGAGGAGAAGGCAACUGAUGAAAGUGACAAUCUGACUGCCUCUGCCCGACUUAACUGCCUGUCGUGGACGGUCCGCGCAGGGACGGCAGACGGUCCGCGCCCUGUUAAUUCAGACUGUCUGCUCUGCUGACUCGGACUGUCCAGAUCCUGAUACAGCGGACGGUCCGUGGUCCUUAUCUAGAUGGUCCGCGGCAUGAUACUCAAAUCUCCAAACUUUGUCCACUUUCUGAUUUUGAAUUUCAAAUCUGAUUUGAAGCUCAUAUAUGGACAUUUCGACCAAUUCAAGGGUUAGUAUGCAUGCAUAUACACAUUAUGUAUUUGAGGAAUACACAUUUUCAUAUAAAACUACUUAGAUCAAACGAGAAUGAAAAAUUCAUCAAAAAUACCCAAUAAAUAGCCUAGAGAGCAUAUUUAGAAGCGAAAUGCAAUACUACACAUGUGUAUACAACCUCAAGCCACGUUUGAGAGAUCUAUCACAUUCAUUUCACUUCUUAGUGAGCAAAACCUUGUUUCAUCUAGUGGCUUUGUGAAUAUAUCGGCCAAUUGAUCAUCCGUGCCAAUCUAAUAUAUAGGGAUAUCUCCCUUUCCAACAUGAUCUCUUAAGAAGUGAUGUCGUAUAUGAAUAUGCUUCGUUCUUGAGUGUUGGACAGGAUGUAGCCAAUUUUACCGCACUCUCAUUAUCACACAUGAGAGGCACAUUCUUAAUAAUGAUCCCAUAAUCCAAUAGAGUUUGUUUCAUUCAUAAUAAUUGAGCACAACAAUUACUGGCCGAUAUAUAUUCCGCCUCGCCGGUAGAAAGGGCAACGGAAUUUUGCUUUUUAUAAGACCAUGAAACAAGAGAUCUUCCAAGAAAUUGACAACAACCGGAGGUGCUCUUUCUAUCAACUUUGGAACCCGCAUAAUCCGAAUCUGAAUAUCCAAUUAAUUCAAAUUGAGCACCUUUGGGAUACCAUAGACCAAUAUUGGGGGUAUACUUCAAAUAUCUUAGAAUUCUUUUUGCGGCCUUCAAGUGAAUCUCUCUAGGUGAAGCUUGAAAUCGAGCACACAUGCAAACACUAAACAUAACAUCGGGCCUAGAUGCGGUAAUGUAAAGCAAACUACCAAUUAUUGAACAAAAAAGUUUUUGAUCAACCAUAGUACCUCCCUCAUCUAAGUCUAGAUGACCAUUUGUUGCCAUAGGAGCCUUGAUAGGCUUUGCAUUCUCUAAGACAAACUUCUUGAGCAUAUCCUUCAAAUAUUUUGAUUGACUUAUAAAGACUCUAUCUUUCAAUUGUUUGAUUUGAAGACCGAGAAAGAAGCUCAAUUCUCCUAUCAUAGACAUUUCAAAUUCCUUUGACAUCAUUUUUCUAAAUUCUUCACAAAACAAUUCAUUAGUAGAUCCAAAAAUAAUAUCAUCAAAAUAAAUUUGACAAACAAACAAAUCUUUGCCAAUUCUUUUAGUGAAUAGGGUAGUGUCAACCUUCCUAAUUUUAAAGUCUUUAGAAAGUAAGAAAUCCCUAAGCCUUUCAUACCAAGCGUGUGGGGCUUGCUUAAGCCCAUAUAGAGCUUUAGAAAGCUUGUACACGUGGUUAGGUCUUUUGGAGUCCUCAAAACCGGGAGGUUGUUCAACAUACACUAGUUCCAUAAUCUUACCAUUUAGAAAGGCACUCUUUACAUCCAUUUGGUAGAGCUUGAUAUUAUGAGCACAAGCAUAAGCAAGAAGGAUCUGGAUUGCUUCCAAUCUUGCCACGGGAGCAAAUGUCUCACCAAAAUCCAAUCCCUCUAUUUGAGUAUAUCCUUGAGCAACUAAUCUUGCCUUAUUUCUUAUUACUAAUCCAUCUUCAUUGUGCUUGUUGCGAAACACCCAUUUGGUACCAAUAACAUUGUUGUUCUUUGGUCUCUCAACAAGCUCCCAAACUUCAUUUCGAGUGAAGUUAUUUAAUUCUUCAUGCAUUGCAUUCACCCAAUCAACAUCAAGUAGAGCUUCAUCUACACGGUUAGGUUCCAUACAAGAUACAAAGGAGAAAUGUUCAUAAAAUGAAGCUAUAUGAGAGCGAGUUUGAACACCCUUACUAAUAUCACCCACAAUUUGAUCAAAUGGGUGAUCCUUCACAAUAGAAUGAUGAAUUCUUGAUACCAUUUGAGAAUUUCUAGUUGAAGCAUGAGGAGGAACUGAAUGACUUGAAGUAUCUUGAUCAUGAGUAUCCAUAAUUUCAUCAUUUUGUUGACUUUGGUGAUUUUCUUCAUUUAGGGUUGAAGAGGAUGGAAUGACAACCACACUAUUUUCAUCAUCAUCUUCCUUCGGCUUUAUUUCACCAAUAGCCAUUGUUUUCAUAGCAUUUCUCAAUUGAGUUCCACCAACGUCAUCAAGAUUAUCGCUUUCAUCUUGGGACCCAUUAGUUUCAUCAAACUCAACAUCGUAUGCUUCUUCAAUAAUACCAUGAGUCUUGUUGAAGACUCUAUAAGCCUUACUAUUUGAUGAAUAUCCAAGUAGAAAAUCCUCAUCACAUUUCUUCUCAAAUUUAGAGAACCGGCUUCCCUUUCUCAAAAUAUAACAUUUGCAACCGAAUACUCUAAAAUAUGAGAUAUUUGGCUUUCUACCAAUGAGCAAUUCAUAGGGAGUUUUCUUCAAGAGCUUGUGACAAUAUAGCCUAUUUGAUGAAUGACAUGCAGUGUUUAUUGCUUCGGCCCAAUAAGAAUCCGACACAUUAUAUUCCGCUAACAUAGACUUAGCCAUAUCAAUGAGAGUCCUAUUCUUUCUUUCAACAAUACCAUUUUGUUCUGGAGUAUACUUGGAAGAAAAUUCAUGUUUAAUAACCUUGUCAUCACAAUAUUUAUCAAUUCUAGCAUUUUUGAAUUCCGACCCAUUAUCACUUCUAACUUUCUUGAUGUCAAAAUCAAAUUGAUUUUGAGCCAAUAUAGCAAAUGACUUGAAUGUUUCAAACACAUUAUAUUUAUCCCGAAGAAAGUAAACCCAAGUGAAUCUAGAAUAAUCAUCCACAAUCACAAGGCAAUAGGAAUUACCGUCGAUACUCACAAACGAUGUUGGCCCAAAUAAAUCCAUGUGAAGUAAUUCCAAAGGCCGAUGAGUAGACAUUUGAUUUUUAUUUGGAUGAGUAUUUGCCACUUGCUUCCCGGCUUGACAUGAGCUACACAAUUUGUUCUUCUCAAAUUUCACAUCUUUCAAGCCUCGGACUAAAUCAUGUUUGGUUAAACGAUUGAGUUGCUUCAUUCCAACAUGACCAAGUCUUCUAUGCCAUAACCAACCUAGUGAAGCCUUUGAGAAUAAGCAAGUUGUGAGCUUUGCCUCACUAGAUGAGAAAUCAACAAGAUAAAGAUUUUCAUAUCUAAAGCCUUUAAACUUAAGAUUGCUACCAUCAACACUAGAGAUAAUAACAUCCUCAACGGUGAAAUUGCAACUAAUUCCUAAAUCACAUAAUUGAGCUACGGAUAGUUAAUUAAAGUUCAAAGACUCAACCAAAAGCACAUUUGAUAUGGAAUGAUCAUUCGAAAUAGCAAUUUUACCCAAGCCUUUAACCUUUCCUUUGUGAUUAUAUCCAAAUGUGAUACUAUCAUAAUUUGAGCAAUCUUCCUGACUCAUUUGGGUGAACAUUUUCAUAUCUCCGGUCAUGUGUUGAGUGCAUCCACUAUCCAACACCCAAUGAUUCCUUCCCGCCUUGUAGUUCACCUACAAAAGGAAAUCAAUCUCUUUUAGGUACCCAAACUUGCUUGGGUCCUUGGAUGUUAGUGACCAAGGUCUUUGGCACCCAAAUAGCUUUUUUCUUGUUGCCAACAAUUGAAGUACCAACAAAUUUAGCAUGAACACCUUUUGCAUUAUGAGAAAGAACAUAACAAUGCUCAAAACAAGUGGAGGAUACAUUCUUGAGCUUAGGACAAUUCUUUUUGAUAUGUCCCUUCUUGUGACAUUUGUGACACACUUUGUCACAUUCUUUCACAAACAAUGUCUUUUGCUUUACAAAAGCAUUCUUUCCUUUCUUGGGAACAUAUCCAAGACCCUCAUGAUUAAGUGAGCACCGUUGACUUCCCAAUAUGAAAUCCAAUUUAGCCUUUCCACCAUAUGCCUUCUCAAGAUCAUGGGUUAGAGGAUUCACUCUAUCUACUAUUACUUCAUUUUCAACAAUGAUUUGUGAUUCAUCAAGAGCAAUAUUUUCAUUCAUAAGAGAAAUUUUGCAUUUAUCACAAAUAGAGUUAGUAGGUUGUGGUUCACUUGUACGACUAUCAAGUAAGUCACAAGUGACUCCAACAUCCUUGGUGACCACCACAACUUCAUCCAUAAUAGAUGAGUUUUGAGCUUCCGCAAGCUUCUCACAAUUCUCUUUUAAAUCGUUGUGAGAGGUCUUGAGCUCCUCAAAAG
Molecule: long non-coding RNA, 12914 nt
Filed under: Zea mays
Lineage: Eukaryota; Viridiplantae; Streptophyta; Magnoliopsida; Poales; Poaceae
Description: long non-coding RNA (ZMAY_LNC001654)
Source: RNAcentral